Molecule: RNA transcript, 6665 nt
Organism: Anopheles coluzzii
Lineage: Eukaryota; Metazoa; Arthropoda; Insecta; Diptera; Culicidae
Gene name: phospholipid-transporting ATPase VD
Exons: 12
Source: RefSeq, a predicted model, not a curated record
GUCGUGGAAUCGUUCACCCACUUCAGUGCAAAAAAAAAUCGCUAGAAGCAUAAGAGAAAAAAAUCCGUGUGUUUCUUUGUACGUGUUUGUGUGAGUCGCUGUAAGUGUGUGUGUGUGUGUUCGUGUAUGUGUGUGUGCGGCCUUUGGCUUUCCUACGUCUGCUGUGUGAUUCACGCACAUGGGCUGGAUGCUGAACGGUUCGAUGGUCUCUAGCUCGCUCCAUCAGCCGUCCACGUUGCUGCGGGCGUCUCUGUCGUUUUCUUCCUUUUGGUUAUCCACGAUUUCUCCGGCUGUUCAUCUCUUGUGUGAUGGUAUGGUUGGCGCGAUGUGAUGGUAUUGGAUGCUUCCUCCGAUGCUCCGAAACCGUACGGGGAGAAUAAAGGCAGCCAACACACAUACCAAACACUGCUACAUUCAAGCAUCUAAGCGUAGGAGCGGAGUUGGCUGGAGAUUGUGAAACGGUAUAGAACAAUAACAGAUCGCCACGACCGCAACUAUUCAGCUAGAAGCGAGACCACAUCACGGAACGGCAGUGUUAUUACUCUGUGAAUUGUGUGCGGUUUUUAUUUGCUAAUAAGUGCAGUGCUAUGAGCAAAUUUCCUGAAAGUGUGGUGACACCGUAAAAAAAUAGUGUGCUUCUAAUACACAGAGGCGGCAGUGUUCGAAAAAAACCGGCGUCGUUUCGAUUCCGAAUGCGAUUACGAAAUGUGCUUAGUUAGUGGUUAAAAAAUAAUAGUCGAUGUGUACCAGCGGCGCUUUUAGUCGGUGAAGCAUCUCCAUGUGCAUAUGAUUAGUGCGUGCGUGCAUGCGUGCGGGCAAAAAGUGAAAGUGUUCUCGCUCAUAGGGCUCAUCUAAAUGGUGCAUUUCGUCGCCAACAGCAGCAGCAGUAGCAGCAGCAGCAGCAGCAAUGACGCAUGUAAAGGAGGAGCUGUCCAAGGAUGUUACGCCGGCGGGCGACGGAGGCGGCGGUACCGGUGUCGGUGCCGCAACCGGGUUCCAUAAUCACCCGUCGCAGCCGCAGCAUCAUCACCACCAGCAGCCGCCACAAUCACUUCCCCCGCAUAAGGAGCAUCCGCUCGAGCUGGCGGACGAUCACAUGAAGUACGUCUUUUCGGAAAAUGCGCCCCAAACCGCCGGAUCUCAGGCGGCGCAGGCCGCCCAGCUGAUCGGUGGCGGCGUCAGCUCUGGCGGUGUGGGUAUCGGUGCGAAUCCGCUGGCCGGCAGAAUAAUGCUAGAAUACCAACGACCCACCGGCGGUGGCCACUCGCGCUCGGUCAGUCAUGGCGAAGGUUCGUUCGGCGGAUCGUUGGUGGGAAGCGGUGGCGCGGCCGGCCGACCUUCAGCCCUGAAGUCGGCGGUCAAGGGCGGUCACCAGCGGGCUCUCUCGCAGGGUCAAAUCAUGGAUGCCCCAACGAUUGCCACACGGGGCCACAGCCGGGUUGGGUCGAAAACGGAUUUUAUUUUACCGCCCGGGCACAAGGACCAAUCGGAGCAGCGCGAUACUGCCGCUCCCCACUCUGCCACCUCCAUCAAGGGCCACUCGCGGCAAGCGUCACGAUCGGAGUCGAUCUACACCUUACGCCGGGCGGACAAGCCGCCCUGGUGGAAGCGUCUGAUGUUCUGUCGCACGGCCAGCAGCAAGCUGGAGGACCGAGGCUACCGGAUCGUGGUCCCGAACCAUACGGUGCCGCCCAAGACGCCCAAACGGGACCACCCGAAUGGGCGCCUGUGUGGUAACAAGAUUCGCACCACCAAGUACACGCUGCUCUCGUUCGUGCCGAAAAACCUGCUCGAACAGUUCCACCGUAUCGCGAAUCUGUACUUCAUCUUCAUCGUGCUGCUGAACUGGUUCCCGCAGAUCAAUGCGUUCGGGAAGGAGAUUGCCAUGAUCCCGGUACUGUUUGUGCUCGGUGUGACCGCGAUAAAGGAUCUAUUUGAGGAUCGCCGGCGGAAAGCGUCCGAUAAGCGCAUCAACAACUCGACCUGCCGCGUGUACAACGGUGAAUCAGAACGAUACAAGAAAGUCCUUUGGCAGGAUGUUCGUGUGGGCGAUCUCGUACAUUUGUCCAACAACGAAUGUGUACCGGCUGACAUACUGCUGCUCAAGUCGAGCGAUCCGCAUGGUGUGUGCUACAUCGAUACGUGCGAUCUGGACGGAGAAACCAAUCUGAAAAGACGCCAGGUGGUACGAGGCUUCGUCGAGAAGCAGCACAGCUUCGCACCGAACAAGUUCACCAGCCGAAUCGAAGUCGAUGCACCGUCAACGAAAAUCUACCGCUUCCACGGUGCUGUGAUACAUCCUUCCGGGGAGCGAGUACCGGUUUCGACGGAAAGUUUGCUGCUUAGAGAAAGUCGCCUAAAGAACACGGAUUACGCAGAAGGAAUCGUUGUGUACGCUGGACACGAAACGAAGGCAAUGCUCAACAACAGUGGCCCCAGAUAUAAGCGAUCCCGUAUCGAGCAGCAGAUGAACAUCGAUGUGAUAUGGUGCGUUAUCAUACUGAUUGUGCUGUGCAUCGUCGGUGCGGUGGGAUGCAAGCUGUGGCUUUCCUUCUAUGCAACCGAUUCCGACGGUACGUCCAGUGGUACGAACAACGAUACAUUCCGCAUACCUUUCCUACCGUUCGAGAUCAAUCCCGACUACGAGGGUUUGCUAGCGUUCUGGACGUUCGUCAUUAUUCUGCAAAUUAUGAUACCGCUCUCCCUGUACGUUACAAUCGAGCUGUGCAAACUGAUGCAGGUAUACCACAUACACAACAACAUUGAGCUGUACGAUCCGGAUUCGAACAAGCGAACCGAAUGCCGUGCAAUGAACAUCACGGAGGAGCUUGGUCAGAUACAGUACGUCUUCUCGGACAAAACGGGCACGUUGACGGAAAAUCGCAUGAUAUUCCGACGGUGCACGAUCGUCGGCGUGGACUACAACCAUCCGGAAACGGAGGAAGAGAAGGAGCUGAACAAAAUAGGUGCACCUGUACCGAUUCUUCAGCCCAAUCUGAACUUGCUGGAGAAUUUCCGCGGCAAUUCCCAGUCCUCGCUAGAAACGGCAGCAAACCAAGUGGUGGGUGGUCGGAAUACUGGCGAUGGUGGAAGCGAAACCGUCACCAAUCAAAUACAGGAAUUCUUUCUGGUGCUAGCUAUAUGCAAUACAGUGGUGGUUAGUGCGACUCCGCACCGAGAUAACAUGAAUGCGAGCGGCGUGAUCGAAAUGAACGAUAGCGAUACGAGCGUUACGCUUGUGCGGCCUGCUUUGGUGGACACGGACGGUGGCAGUCUCCCGCUGACGGCGUGCGACCCAACGAUCGGUGAUCGGUAUGCCCGAUUGACGGAGUCUCGGUCCAUAACACCUUCUCCGCCACCGAACGCACCGUCGUCGUUGCCUCUCAAGGCGGCCCAUGUGCCAUCCCUGUCGCCGAUCAGCAGUUCGGCCGAAACAUCGCCCAUGUCCGAGAGUCCGCCGAUGCGGAUAAAAUCGCUGACUACGCCUACGGCGAAGGUGAAAUCGCUCGUAGCAAAGCUAGGCAACGUGGCAAGCAGCGCAAAGGGCGGUGGCGUUUUUAAAAGCGCCGACAGGAGCAGUACGGGCAGCACCAGUAGUAGUAAGAAUCGAUUCGCUUCGAACAACAGCAGCAGUGGCGCUUCGAAAUUCCACAAGUCCUUUUCACAGGGCUCCUCAUCGCCUGCCUCCAGUCGACCAAUUUACGAAGCAGAAAGCCCUGAUGAGCUGGCGCUUGUCAAUGCCGCCUUUAGCUACGACUGCUGUUUGGUGAACCGAAGCCCAAACCACGUCCUCGUUAGUGUGCCCGGCGAAGGCGUCAUAGAGUACGAGGUGCUGAAAGUGCUUCCCUUCGAUUCUGCCCGCAAAUGCAUGUCCGUGGUUGUACGGCGAACGGGGACGCAGGAUGUGGUGCUGUACACGAAGGGUGCGGACAGUAGCAUCAUCCCGAAUCUGGUACCUUGCACGCCGGGCUCGGAAGAGUAUCGUUUGCGCGAGCAGACGCAGCAUCAGUUGGAUGUGUACGCACGGCAAGGACUGCGUGUCCUAGUCAUGGCCAAGCGCAAGCUGGAUGCGACCGAUUUUAGCGAAUGGUACAGCAAGCACGAGGAAUGCGAACUAAGCAUGGAGAAUCGGGAGCGCAAGAUUCGAGAAUCGUUCGGAAUGCUCGAAAGAGGCCUGACGCUCGUGGGGACCACCGGCAUUGAGGAUCGUUUGCAGGAGGGCGUUCCCGAGACAAUCACCUCGCUGCUACAAGCCGGUAUCGUGAUUUGGGUGCUGACGGGCGAUAAAGCCGAAACGGCCAUUAACAUUGCCUACUCGGCGAAGCUGUUCAACUCGCAGAUGGACAUCCUUAAACUGACUGCCCGAUCGCGCGAUUCGGCGGAAGCGAGUAUAAACUUUUACCUCAACGAAAUAGAAAAGCAGCUCAACUCCAACGGUGGCUCCAGCGAUGCAGACGAUGCGUUUGAUCAGCUGGAUAAAGCACGCGCACUAGUCGUGGAUGGGAAAACGCUCACCUUUAUACUGGAUUUGCGAUCCAACCUCACCAAGCCAUUCCUAAGACUGACCCGUUACUGUUCGUCUGUGCUGUGCUGUCGGGCGACACCACUGCAGAAGGCGUUCCUCGUGAAGGUGGUGAAAGAGGAGCUUCGUAUCAGCACGCUUGCCAUCGGUGACGGUGCAAACGAUGUCUCUAUGAUUCAGAUGGCCGACGUUGGCGUGGGUAUCUGCGGACAGGAAGGCAUGCAAGCAGUUAUGGCAUCCGAUUUUUCAAUCGCCAAGUUCAAAAUGCUGGAAAAGUUGUUGCUUGUACAUGGACACUGGAAUUACGAUCGAUUGGCGCGCAUGAUCAUCUACUUUUUCUAUAAAAAUGCGGCAUUCGUGUUUCUUUUGUUCUGGUACCAAUUUUACUGUGGAUUUUCCGGUGCUGUCAUGAUUGAUCAAGUGUACUUAAUGAUCUAUAAUUUGCUGUUUACGGCCCUUCCCCCGCUGGCAAUUGGGGUGUACGAUAAGAAGAUUAUUGACGACCUUCUUCUGGCGUAUCCGCAGUUGUAUCAGCAUGGACGUCGGGGGAAAGGCUACAAGUGGUCUACCUUUUGGAUUGUGAUGCUCGAUGCAGUGUACCAGAGUUUGGUGAUAUUUUUCGUAGCAAAGGCAGCGUACUGGGGAUCGGACGUGGAUUUAUGGGUGUUUGGCACAACGAUUACGUCCUCCUGCUUGUUUACGAUGCUGCUACACUGUGCCAUAGAAAUUAAAUCAUGGACAAUCUUGCAUGUCUUAUCGAUAGUGAUUAGUUUGGUGUCGUUCUAUGCGUUUGCAUUUGCGUACAAUUCGGUUUGUGUCAACUGCUUCGGGUUGCCGUCCAAUUAUUGGGUUAUUCAUAUGAGCAUGAGUACAAUACAGUAUUAUCUGAUUACGCUGCUUACUUCCGUACUUGCCCUGCUGCCACGAUUCACGUAUCGUGUCAUCAAAAAUACCAUUUGGCCCUGCGAAGGCGUACGGGUGACACUGCAGUACAAAGAAGAAAAACGAAGAGGUGAGAAUCUGCUGGUAACCUGGUCUCGUUCGACGUCUGCCUCAUCCAUAUUCAGGUACUUAACACACACAACCUCAAGCAAUCACUCGAAAUCCAGUACGCUGAUCACGAGAAAGCGUUCCGCUACGACCACUGCCGUCGGUGGAAUACUCGAGCGCAACGCUCCACGGCAGCGAUUUGGCUAUUAGGCGAAUGUCGAUGUCGUCGGUCUCGCCAUAGCUUCUACCCAGCGUGAACCCAGCAACAGAUCCCAAUGAAAUGUCAAUGGAAUGUUGGGAAAGAAUUGGAAACGCGCGCAUAUCAGCAUGUGCACAUUUGUCCUCAAUCCUCAAUCUCUGUGUCUAUUUUCGAUCACUACAAGCGGUCUGCAGUAGAAAGCGAUUUGUUAACAGGCCUGGGGAACCUCCCAUUACAGGACUUCGCAUAAGGCUGUAGACGGCAGAUAACAUGGCGCUUGCAGCAAAAUUAAGUAUACAGAUAUAAAAUGUUUGCCAAUCGCCCCGUCCCGUUGUCAUUCUUUGCAUUGGUAUGAAAAGCUUUUUCCAAUUCGGGCGGCUUUGCAGUCCAAUGGCUUUUUAAAAGGGAUAAACAUAGAUAACACAAACUCUACGCUGAUAGAACGUCAAAUUACGCAUAGAAACAAACGAUGCUACUUUCCAGUGAUACCCAAGAAAAAAAAAACAAUCAAUCAAACAAAAAGUAACUUUAAAGGAACAUUGUUCUAGCGGCCUUAUCACGUAAUAUAUGCUACAUGUACUGAAUUUCUUUCUCAAAGAAGAAGAGCAUACAGCAAAGUGAAGUAAUCGUCCAUAUCCUAACACCCUUUAUGUAUCAUAACAAUGGACAAGCUCGCAAACUUGUAAGUGAGACACUUUAUACGGAUACGAUCAUUGAAAUGAAGCAUUGCGUGAGAGCAAAAGUGUAAUUUAUUAACAAAUUAUGGUUUUACAUGUGAGCAAAAAGGUAGGAGAGCAAAUGCUUCAAUAAGAUUUUUGAUGUUUCGUUGUUUGCGAGGGGUAAAGAGCUCACGCAAGCGCGGAUAGGUAAAAGUAAAUGCUGCGACCACGGCUGUGAAUGUGAAUGCUUAACUGGAGCGCUCCCGAAAAGAACUGCGAUUUUGCGACACACGAG